This 243-nucleotide non-coding RNA is filed under the name Bacillus sp. (in: firmicutes). RNAcentral describes it as "Bacillus sp. T-box sequence". It matches the Rfam family "T-box leader". From Rfam's summary of the family: Uncharged tRNA acts as the effector for transcription antitermination of genes in the T-box leader family. T-boxes are found upstream of many aminoacyl-tRNA synthetase genes and some amino acid biosynthetic genes usually in Gram-positive bacteria. Lineage: Bacteria; Bacillati; Bacillota; Bacilli; Caryophanales; Bacillaceae. The record is from RNAcentral.
AGCAAAACAAAGACGAGGAUAAGUAGGUAUCCGAAUACGCCAUCUUCAGAGAGCCGGGUUGCUGGAAACCGGCGGUGGCAAGGGUAGUGAACUCACCUCGGAGUGCUCUUCUGAAUUGAGUAGGAGGAGCCGGGUGCAUCCGAAGCACUCGUUAUUAAAAUGAACAUGAUUGUUCCUGAGAUGGCCUUAAAGCCAUGAAAAAGGGUGGUACCGCGCAGAGUUUCUAACCUCUUCGCCCCUUUG